Molecule: long non-coding RNA, 4147 nt
Filed under: Homo sapiens (human)
Lineage: Eukaryota; Metazoa; Chordata; Mammalia; Primates; Hominidae
Description: non-protein coding LINC02519:26
Source: RNAcentral
UGCCAGAGAAUGAGCUGGGAUCUGCCCUGACAAGUGGAGCCUCGUUUGAAAGUGUCGGUAACAGGCUCUGUGUCUGAACCAAAGUUUCCCUUGCAACCUGGUGUGGCUGCAUGAUGGAGUUUGGGCCGUGACAUAUGGUGGGUUUGACGUGUGCCACUCUUAGGGCCAACUUCUAAAGCCUCCAAGACACAGCCCCAUGCCCUGUGCCCUUCUGCAGCUCAGAGCAGAUGAGCCCAGUGACCUUGAGGCCCUUGAAGAUGGUGGAACCAGGAGACAUGAGGGGCCUUGGCCUGGAAACACAACUCGAAGGGAAAUCACUCAUCUGGAAAACGUGUUUGGACCCAUACCACACCGUGGCAAAUACCUGGUAAAACUGUCAUCUGAAAUUGCUUGGAAAUAGGACACUACCACCUAAACCCACAGCUCGUAGGCCAGGGCACCUCAACUGUAGUCCCCAGACCAGCAGCAUCGGUGUUACCUGGAAAAUUAAAAAUGCAAAGUUUUGGGCCCACUUCAGACCCCAGGUCAGAAAUUGUGGGUUGCAGAAAUCUGUGUUUUAAUAACCCUUCAGAUGACUGUGGUGCCCGACAAAGUUGAAAUGCCUGCUCCCAUGUGUGCUGGGUUUAGUUUGUGCUUUAGCAAAGCGGGAUAAGAAAGAAAGGAGGCCAGGAUGGAAUUCGCUGGUUUCCAACUAGAAGUGACAGAAAAUAGAAAGAGUCCAGUAAUGUGAGGUCUUGAAGUGUUGGGAGAAUUCAUUCAUCACUUCUAGAUUCCAGACAAUCAGAAAUAAAAUUUUAAAAGUCUUUCAAUGACAAACUAAGACUUCUCAGUUGGGAAAAAAAAAAAAAAAGGACUCAGUCUUGUUGCAGACAUGAGAUGAAGAGUGUGGUCUUUUCACAAAUGCCUGUGCAAGGGAGUCAAGGACAGAAGCCAUCCGGUGGGCUCCUUGGCACGGGGGCGGCUGAAGCAAACCAACCAGGAGCCCACGCAGCUGUCAAGGGCUUGUGUCAGCAAGUAAAGCCUAGACUGCUUGUGACUGUGAAGUGUAAAAGUGCCCCUGGGUCCUCAGGCCUGUGGACAGGACAAAGCCAAAGCCGCCCAGCGCCGUGUGAUGCGGCCACAGAGAACACGAGCCUCGGGAGAGAGGAGCCUGGGGCUGGAAAACAAGGGUGAAGGACGCUCCCCUCUGGCUGCAGGAGAGGGGCUGCUGAGGGCAAGAUCCAUCAUUUCUUGGGACCAAUGAUGCUGCUUCCUACUCUCUGCUUUCUGCCUGGGAGUUUUGUCUGGGACGCCUGUGUCUGCCCCACUCACUGUGUGGUGCAAGCUCCAUUUCCAGUGAGGACAACCGUGGCUGCCGAGAGCACCUUACAAGCCAGGCAUCCUCCUCUGAGCUCAAGGCAGCCUUGAGAAGUGGGACGAAGACUUCCUUCACGGGAAGAGGAGCGGCUCAGAGAAAGGAAGAGGCUAGUCCAGAACCACCACGUGGACAUCUUCUGUGAAGGCAAGGGCUCACCCUCACCCUGACGCCAGCCACCUGCCCCUCUUAAUAGGAGGGCGGGCCCUCCCCGCACAGCAGGCACUUCACUGCAGGCUCUGCUGCCUUUGGGAAAUGUGCCUCCCUUGUAGAGCUCUGUGGUGCAGAUUCGGCUAUCAAAGGAGUAGAACCCCCCCCUCCCCCCCGCCACCGUCCCACCCCCACAGAGCAGCUAAGAAAGCUGUUUGAUUUAACCCGUGGUUUCCCAAAUACUUUAGACCACUAAUUAAUUUUGUUUUCUGAAACAUUCGUUAAUAUGUUCACAGAAAAUUGUGGCAUUCACUUUGGAAAAUAUAUCUGUUUAAGAACAGAUAAUGAAUACAUAACAAAUUUAGAACUGUGUUAAGAUUCCAUAACUAAAACCACUCUAAACUUUCUGAAAUGGCUGAAAACGUUUCCCUAACUUUUCUGAAAGUACUUGCUGGGCUUCUUGGAGACUGAAUCAUCCCUUUUGAGCCCACUUAGGGGAAAGUUCAAAAGACCUCAGAGAAGACAAAAAGCAGGGCAAGAGAGACGGCCCAGUCUUCUAGCUCUCCACUGGAGAAAAUGCAUGUGGGAAAGGCUGGGGGUUUCCAUCCUCAAUAUUUAGUAAAAGAUAAAGUAAAAAUUACAACUGCCUUCUGAAUGGCUCCCCUCCCCUGACUUCAUGGGAGUGAUGACUCAGCCCUCUGUUUUGUAACUGCGGAGAUUGAAAGUGGAGACGGGACCUUUGGCAUUUCAGAAAAUGUCGACGCCGCUUUCUUCUGCUUUCUCCGGGACCCCUCUGGGGCCUCGCCUCCUCCCCUCCCGCUGAAAGCCUGCUGUGAAAGGAGCAAGGAUGUGAAAAAGAUGUACGACUCUUUGCUUCCUUAUGCUCGGCCCAAGUUUAUCAAAAGCUGUGGAGUUUGCUAAAAUAAUCCAGGGAAUUCGCCUGGAAAUGGUUUUUUUUUUUUUUUUUGGUUGUUGUUUGUCUUCACUUGUUCCAAAGAAGCAAAAUAAGACAGGGGCUGCCCCUUGUCCUGUCUCAUUCAUUUUUGACACCCUUGUUUCUCCACACAGGCCCUGGGGUGAAGGGCACAGGUGGGAUUCAGAAUAGAAAUGACUCGAGGGACGCAAGGAGUUGGGAUCAGAAGAAGCAGCAGAAACUCCUGCUCUGCAGACACAGCAGACAUUACUGGGAAAGACACCAGAGACCCAGGAGUUCACCCAAGUCCUCUGCACACUGUCUUCCCAGCCCUCUCUCCUGGAUCUGAGAUGAUUUCACUUAAAAACACAAGCCUUUGCUUAAAGAGCGCAGGUAGCCACUUGCUCUCCCAGAGAGUGCUGCAGCGGUGAUGAUCGGUUUCCCCCCUCCCCACCUGCUCAGUCCUGCAAAGCCUGGACUCUGCUCCAAGGCCUUUGGGACCCAACACCUGCUUUCCAGCCUCAGGGCCUCAGGCCUGAGACCACAGGGGCUCUUCCCGGCGGCUGUACCUCCUGCCAUUCACCUGCUGAUUUCUUCCUCAUCUGUUUAUUCCUCUGAUCCAACAAGGUCAGGAUGGUAUGCAACCGCCACCCCCCCCCCACUGCCCCCACCACCACAGCACUGCCACGACCCUUGUCUGGGACGGAUGAUGUGGGGCUGCACUUCCUCUGUCGGCCCCCUGCCCUCGUCAGGAGGCCCAGCAUGUAGCAGGCAAGCAGCAGGCAGCAGGCAGGUGCUGAGUGGGUGUGGAAGGUGUGGCCCCUCACACCUCUGUGUCCUAUGCUCAGCGCUGUGCUUGGGCAUGGCGAGGCCUCAGCAGAUACUGUGCAGCACAGUGACACCAAUGGAACCCAGUAAAAAGACAGUUUCCAAUUUUCCUCGCUGCUGGGGCCCACCCAGAUCCUGGAGCAGAGCAUGGCCUGCAGGAAGCACAGGCUGGUGGACUGUGGCUGUGUCACGGCGAGCUUCCAGUGGCUCUCGCAGAACUCAAUUGGCACGGUAAAGGGACAAAUGAAGUUUCCAGCUUUUUUCUUUUAAUAGCUCAGAUAUCAAUUUUAUAGCUCUGAUGGACAUAAUUUAUAAAAUAAGUCUAUAUCUUACUGUAAAUUUGAGACGGUUAACCUUUAAUAAAGUUAAUAAGGGGCUUGUCAAAACUCCUGAGCUGAACUUUGCUUGCUCGUUACAUAAUAACAACGAAGUGAUUUUAACCUAAACUGCAGCUAUUUUGGCCAUUUAAAGGUGAGGAAAGAGAGGGGAUGGGCAGGAAAAGUAGUUUUUCCAUCGUCCUGGAAGAACUGCCAGGUGAAGGUGAUGGGGAGGCUGGCGUUUUAAUUCCUCUAAUGGCUCAGAUCAGCUGCACCUGGGUGUGUGUCCCUUGCUCAUCAGCGCACGCUGGCGGGCCUGCGGAGGCACGAGGUGUCUUUAAGCCGAGAGCAGGAAGCAAAGUUUCUGGAAAAACUGAGGGGCGCAGGGAGCACGGACUGGGUCUUCAGGAGCAGUGUGGCUGAGCUGUGGAAAUGGACACAUCCACUGUCCCAGAUAUUAUGAAAAUGAACCCCUCACUCUGAGCUCUUUCGAGAGGAAUCCUCAAGUAUGGAGCCCAAAGAAAAAGGGCUGUGUCCAUGCCUGGGCUGGGCUCUGCAAGAAUGCACAACAAAUCACCACCCCAG